GGCUCAGGACGAACGCUGGCGGCGUGCCUAACACAUGCAAGUCGAACGGGAUCGGGGGCAACUCCGGUUCAGUGGCGAACGGGUGCGUAACACGUGAAGAAUUUGUCCUUCGGCGGGGGAUAGCCGGCCCAACGGCCGGGUAAUACCGCGUACGACCUUCGGGGGGCAUCCCCUGGAGGUGAAAGCCGCAAGGCGCCGAGGGAGAACUUCGCGGCCUAUCAGCUAGUUGGCGGGGUAAUGGCCCACCAAGGCGACGACGGGUAGCUGGUCCGAGAGGAUGACCAGCCACAUUGGGACUGAGACACGGCCCAGACUCCUACGGGAGGCAGCAGUGGGGAAUAUUGCGCAAUGGGCGAAAGCCUGACGCAGCGACGCCGCGUGUGGGAUGACGGCCUUCGGGUUGUAAACCACUGUCGGGAGGGACGAAGCUCUGACGGUACCUCCAAAGGAAGCACCGGCUAACUCUGUGCCAGCAGCCGCGGUAAUACAGAGGGUGCGAGCGUUGUCCGGAAUCACUGGGCGUAAAGGGCGCGUAGGCGGCCCGGUAUGUCGGGGGUGAAAUCUCGCGGCUCAACCGCGGGGCUGCCUCCGAAACUGUCGGGCUCGAGCACAGUAGAGGCAGGUGGAAUUCCCGGUGUAGCGGUGGAAUGCGUAGAGAUCGGGAAGAACAUCGGUGGCGAAGGCGGCCUGCUGGGCUGUUGCUGACGCUGAUGCGCGACAGCGUGGGGAGCAAACAGGAUUAGAUACCCUGGUAGUCCACGCCGUAAACGAUGGGUACUAGGCGCCGGGGGGGAGCGACCCCUUCGGUGCCGUCGCUAACGCAAUAAGUACCCCGCCUGGGGAGUACGGCCGCAAGGCUGAAACUC
Molecule: ribosomal RNA, 866 nt
Filed under: uncultured bacterium
Lineage: Bacteria
Description: bacterial SSU rRNA
Rfam family: Bacterial small subunit ribosomal RNA
Source: RNAcentral